AGGAGACGGGAUGUAUAGAACAGCAGCGGAGAAAAACCCGGAACGGCCCAUGCUCCUUGACUGGAAUGGAUCGGAGGGACCCUUGGAGACGACGCGUCAUGAUUAAGUGCUUUGCCAGCAGCUUGUUCCCUGAAAUGUUCUGCUUCCGUUCAGUCAAGAUUUUAUCGAGUGAUUUGCUCAAGCUGCCAGAGACGACAUCACCUCACCUCCCGUGAACGGUGGGGAAUGAUGAGAAGAAAGCGCCUUCCUCUGAAACACACAUGCUCAUUUGUGACAGUAACUUCUAAUAGAUACAGAAUAAAAAUGUCAAGUGCUCAAGGCAUGUCGUCUGCAAGCACUUCAUUGGGAUCUUUCCCGGUUCAACCGGUGAUAUCAAAACGCACGGAAAAUGUAACGCAACUUGUCAACGCUUACGCAGGAGCAGCUUUUAGUGACAGUUCCCUGC
Long non-coding RNA from Triplophysa rosa, 445 nucleotides. RefSeq lists it as uncharacterized. Lineage: Eukaryota; Metazoa; Chordata; Actinopteri; Cypriniformes; Nemacheilidae. The transcript is spliced from 3 exons. The record is from RefSeq and is a predicted model, not a curated record.